This 1043-nucleotide long non-coding RNA is filed under the name Amborella trichopoda. RNAcentral's name for it is "long non-coding RNA (ATRI_LNC003612)". Lineage: Eukaryota; Viridiplantae; Streptophyta; Magnoliopsida; Amborellales; Amborellaceae. The record is from RNAcentral.
UGAAUGAAAUCUUGGGUUCCCCCCAUUACCUCCAAGUCAAGAAUGCUCUUUCCAUAGCUUUCGAACAAACACAUACAAACUGAGCUUUAUGGAGAGUCCGUCUGGGAUUAAGGUGGAGUUUCUUUCUAUUACAUGCAUUCUUCAUGUUUUAUUUGCAUUAACAUGGUUGCAUUUUGUUGAGUGAAAUUCAUUCUCUUUCUCCUCUUUUGUUUUCUCUGUCUCUUCCGAUACAAACUUCCCCAAAAAAAGAAAAAACAUAAAGAGCUGAAUGUACCUAGGCAAUUUCCAUUUACACUAGGCAAUAUCUAAACAAUUCUUAGACAUGCUUAGCUGAAGUGCUCUCAAUCAACUAUGGAGUAGCCAUGUUAAUGCUUUUCUAAAUCAAAUUUGAAUUCUAACAUCCUUCUCAUUUGAGCAUGGAUUGGCUAUGCAUGGAAAAUGGUUUGUGGCCCCAUCUGCCAUAUUUAUUUCCUCCUAUUCCAAUAUGGCUUCUUGUUUUUAGCUGUUAUAUGUAUUGGUUUUAACGCCAUAUGUUGUGACUGUUUGGGGGCAUAGCUUUUAUUUAUUUCUCAAUUAUAAUAGAUAGUGUGUGUCUCUUGUAAUUUUUAUCAUUAUUGAUUUUUAUUUAUAUUUGAGAUAACUUUUGAGAUUUGGGGUUUGACAAUCUCUGUCUUCUUCUUUCUUGCAAUGCUGAUGAAGGAAAUCUUGGGUUCCACCCUUUACCAGGUCAAGGAUGCUCUUUCAUAGAUUUCGAACAUACAAACUGAUCUUUAAGGAGUCCCUCUGAGAUUAAGGUGGAGUUUCUUUCUAUUAUAUGCAUUCUUCAUUUUUUAUUUGCAUUAACAUGGUUGCAUUUUGUUGAGUGAAAUUCAUUCUUUUUCUCCUCUUUGUUUUCUCCUUCUUUUCCGAUAUAAACUUCCUCAAACAAAGAAAAAAGAUAUAGAGCUGAAUGUCCCUAGGCAAUUUCCAUUUACACAUGGCAAUAUCUAAACAAUUCUUAGUCAUGCUUAGCUGAAGUGCUCUCAGUCGACUAUGGAGUAGCC